Molecule: transfer RNA, 76 nt
Filed under: Chloroflexus islandicus
Lineage: Bacteria; Bacillati; Chloroflexota; Chloroflexia; Chloroflexales; Chloroflexaceae
Description: tRNA-Ala
Rfam family: tRNA
About the family: Transfer RNA (tRNA) molecules are approximately 80 nucleotides in length. Their secondary structure includes four short double-helical elements and three loops (D, anti-codon, and T loops).
Source: RNAcentral
GGGGCCAUAGCUCAGUUGGUAGAGCGCAACACUGGCAGUGUUGAGGUCAGGGGUUCGAAUCCCCUUGGCUCCACCA